AACGAACGCUGAUGGCGUGCCUCAUACAUGCAAGUCGAGCGCCCCGCAAGGGGAGCGGCGAACGGGUGAGUAACGCGUGAACAAUCUGCCUCAAAGUGGGGGAUAACCAUUCCAACGGAUGGCUAAUACCGCAUAGGGUUUGGAAGCGGCAUCGCUUCUUUACGAAAGCAUUCAUGCGCUUUGAGAUGAGUUCGCGUCCCAUUAGCUAGUUGGCGGGGUAACGGCCCACCAAGGCAACGAUGGGUAGCCGGCCUGAGAGGGUGUCCGGCCACAUUGGGACUGAGAUACGGCCCAGACUCCUACGGGAGGCAGCAGUAGGGAAUUUUGCGCAAUGGGGGAAACCCUGACGCAGCAACGCCAUGUGUGGGACGACGGCCUUCGGGUUGUAAACCUCUUUUAGCAGGGAGGAAGCGAGAGUGACGGUACCUGCAGAAAAAGCACCGGCUAACUACGUGCCAGCAGCCGCCGUAA
RNAcentral lists this ribosomal RNA (471 nucleotides) under uncultured bacterium. RNAcentral describes it as "partial 16S ribosomal RNA". It matches the Rfam family "Bacterial small subunit ribosomal RNA", at positions 29 to 523 of the family's 1533-position model. The record is from RNAcentral.